GCCUCCUCACCACCUCCAUCAUUUCUCCGGCUGUUGAUUCUGCUGCUGCUGCUAAGUUUCCUUCAAAAGCUGAUGAAGAUGUUUCUGAAUACGAGAGAGAAGUGGGUGUUGUUGAUCGAAUUAAUUGAUGAGAAGAGAAGAUUUCUUUUGUUCUUUCUCGUCUGUUGCUGAAGAAGAGCUGCGAUUGAUUCAGUGAUUCAUAGGAUAUAGAUCUAGUGACCGUAAUCGAAGUUGAGAUGGGUUUAUUUGGUUCGAUUUAGUGGUGGUGUUAUUCAAUUCUUGGUUAUAAUCAAAAGAAGAUGAAUUUGAGAUGAACUGAAAAGAGGAGAAUGUUGCGGAUGUGGUGUGAGUUGAUGUGAAGCUUGGGGUGCUACUAAUGGGUUG
Long non-coding RNA from Papaver somniferum (opium poppy), 384 nucleotides. RefSeq lists it as uncharacterized. The transcript has 3 exons. The record is from RefSeq and is a predicted model, not a curated record. Lineage: Eukaryota; Viridiplantae; Streptophyta; Magnoliopsida; Ranunculales; Papaveraceae.